Molecule: long non-coding RNA, 2379 nt
Organism: Cercocebus atys (sooty mangabey)
Lineage: Eukaryota; Metazoa; Chordata; Mammalia; Primates; Cercopithecidae
Exons: 2
Source: RefSeq, a predicted model, not a curated record
AUGGGAGGAUUGCUUGAGGCCAGGAGUUCUAGGCCAGCCUUGGCCACAUAGUAAGACCCUGUAUCUACAAAAAAAAAAAAAAAAAAAAUUAGCCAGGCAUGGUGGUGUCUCUGCGGUACUAGCUACUUGGGAGGUUGAGGUGGUAGGAUCACAGGCGCCCAGCAAUUCCAGCCUGCAGUUAGAUAGCCUGGGCGACAGAAUGGUACCAUGUCUGAAAAAAUAAAACUUACAGAUAUGUUUUGAAUAUUUAUUGUAUGCAUCCUCUGUGAUGUGUCAUUUUAUUGGAAAUUAUUGCAUUGUCUACAAAAAUAUGAAGAACUCUGAGGAUGCCAAAAGAUAAACCUCAAAAGAGUACUAGAAGUGAGAUCCUCAAAAAGAGAAAGCUGAGAAGUGUUUCCCAAUUUUUCUUAUUUAUGUAUGUAAUACUUUAUGUCUAAAAACUGAAUUUCAGAGCUGGGAGGAAACUUAAAAGUUGCUCAGUCUAGUUUUUUCAGGUUGGUGCCAAGAAAGCUGAUCAGACUUGCCCAAAAUUGAACAGUCUUAAAUCUGAGCUGAGGCAGGCAUCUGACUGUCUUAAAUUGGAGUUAAAUGUAUUAGCGUCAUGGUAUUAACAUCAUCAUAUUCCACAUCUCAAAUCUUAUUUGAUUUUCAUUACAAUAGUGAAAUAAGUGUGAUUAGUAUUAUCCCCAUUUCCUUCACCAGGAGGCACAUUGUUUUAGUAUCAAAAGCAGCUACCUUGGGAGAAUCUGGGGCUAGAAACCUGACCUCAUUUCAAGUUUUACUCUGUUGCACCAAAACCUUGGGUGAGUUACUCAAUUUCUCAGCUUCAGUCCCCUCAUCAGGAAAAUGCUGUCUUAGCACUUUCUGUGAAGGAUGAUCAAAGGAGUGGAGAUUAUUGUAGAGAUUGUAAACACACUUGACACAGAGUAAGUGUUUAAGAACUGGCAGCUGGUUUUUACAAAGUUAUUGGUCAUAGAAGGCAGUUUCGAGGAAAGGGCAGGCUUUGGAGUGGCUCAGAGUUGUGUUAUAACCUUGGCUUCUUUGCUUACCUAGGACAUACACUCUAGCUGUAGCGUCCUCCCCUCUGAGAUGGAAAUUACAAGCCAUCUCGCAAUGUUGUGAGGAUUGGAGCUCAAGGGUGUAAAAUGCCUCCUCUGGGGGCUCUCCUUGGAGACGUCUUGUAUCCUAUUGAUUGUCAUCGAAGGAAAGAAGUGGCAGGAUGAUGGUGUAAGAAGGAAGAACCUUGAGUUUAAUAGUCUGAAAAAGUGGUUACAGGUUCUUGCUGUGCUUUUUCUCUCUGCGGUUUUCUGAACCCAUCGCCUAACCUGAAGCCUUAGUUCAUCUGCAAAAAUGUUUUGUGGCAGGUGCCUCUGAAGCAGAACUCUUGAGAUGGAAGGGUUGUCAUCUGAGGAAAAAAAAUCGAGAUUAAGAGAGGAGGGACUAGAAUGAGAUUCACUUACCCUCUCUCCUCCAAGGGAAGGAGAGAAUGGUGAUGCCUGCCCAAUCCUUCCUGGGCAGAACCUUUGUAGCAUGGAACAUUGGAGAAUUUGCAGUCUGCUGACUUUCUGAUUUAGGAGGUUGAUGGGGAGGCCUUAUAAUUUGCAUUUCUAACAAGUUCUGAGGUGAUGCUUCAAAUAUGUCCAGGCAGAAGGGCCGCCACACAGAGAUUUCUGCCAUACCACAUGAGAAUUGAAGCCACAGACAUCUCCAACCCUCAAGCCUGAAACCAAAAGACUGAAAACCAAAUACAAUGGUGGACAGAGAACAUCUUAGAACUUCUGUGGGGACCAGUGACACAAGGACCUAAGGUCUCUCUCUUCUCAUCUUGGCACUUCGGGUAGUCUCCCCAGUCUUGACAAAGCCCUGGAGAAAGGGGCGGGCCUCCCGUUGAUAAGAUUGUCACUGCAGAUAAAUGGAGGUUUCAACUUGAAAGAAAGGAGGAGGGCCUCCCGUUUGAUAAGAUUAUUGUCACUGCAGGUAAAUGGAGGCUUCAAAUAGAAAUAGGUUUCAGUUACAGAAAAAAAAUUAUCUUUGUUACACAUUUGAGUUUGCAGGCCUAAGGUUACUCCCGCUACAUUGUCAUCUGUAACCAUAAGGCACUCAACAUUUUAAGCUAACUAUAAGGAUUUUUGCUUCACUCAAAGAUCCUGAGGUUUUAUUCACAUUUUUAUUUGGUGACUAUAGUUGACAAGAACAAAGCUGUGGGGAAUCAACAAACACUGCCAUGCCUGGCAUUGUCACCUCACUAGAUUGUGCAUUCCUCUGGGACAGGGUCCAUACAUUUCCUUCGAAUCCCUCACUUAGUCAUUAGCCUGCACGGUGCUUGUACUUAGUAGGUGCUCAAUAAAUGUUUGUGGAAUGAAUGCAUGAUGAACAAAA